CCCUUAGAUGUUCUGGGCCGCACGCGUGCUACACUGAGUGGAUCAGCGGGUCAGGUUGCGCGAAAGCGUUUCCUAAUCUUUAAAUCCGCUCGUGAUGGGGAUUGACGGUUGCAAUUUUCUGUCAUGAACGAGGAAUACCUUGUAAGCGCGGGUCAUCAUCCCGCGCUGAAUACGUCCCUGCCCUUUGUACACACCGCCCGUCGCUCCUACCGAUUGAGUGAUCCGGUGAGGCUCUGGGACCUGGACGGAAAGAGCGUUUCGCUUGUUCUGUUUGGGAAACUUGGUCGAACCUUAUCAUUUAGAGGAAGGAGAAGUCGUAACA
RNAcentral lists this ribosomal RNA (322 nucleotides) under uncultured eukaryote. Its description in RNAcentral is "partial 18S ribosomal RNA". It matches the Rfam family "Eukaryotic small subunit ribosomal RNA", at positions 1470 to 1796 of the family's 1831-position model. The record is from RNAcentral.